GCGCACAGGACCGCAUGGUCUGGUGUGAAAAACUCCGGUGGUAUACGAUGGACCCGCGUCUGAUUAGAUAGUUGGUGAGGUUAACGGCCCACCAAGUCAACGAUCAGUAGCCGGCCUGAGAGGGUGAACGGCCACAUUGGGACUGAGACACGGCCCAAACUCCUACGGGAGGCAGCAGUGGGGAAUGUUGGACAAUGGGGGAAACCCUGAUCCAGCGACGCCGCGUGAGUGAAGAAGUAUUUCGGUAUGUAAAGCUCUAUCAGCAGGGAAGAUAAUGACGGUACCUGACUAAGAAGCUCCGGCUAAAUACGUG
Molecule: ribosomal RNA, 313 nt
Filed under: uncultured bacterium
Lineage: Bacteria
Description: bacterial SSU rRNA
Rfam family: Bacterial small subunit ribosomal RNA
Source: RNAcentral